Molecule: long non-coding RNA, 925 nt
Organism: Saccostrea cuccullata (small rock oyster)
Lineage: Eukaryota; Metazoa; Mollusca; Bivalvia; Ostreida; Ostreidae
Exons: 3
Source: RefSeq, a predicted model, not a curated record
CUGAAAAUAGAAUGAUUUGUGAAGUUGAACGUUUUCUCACCAAAGAAUACGUAUGUAGACAUGCACACUCAUUUAAUCUGCAGCUACGAAGUACUUUGUCACUCCUCUGGAACAUUAUUCUAAGCAGAAUUAUUCAGAUUCAUAUAUUCUAAGAAACUUGUGUGAAUUGUUUACGAGGAAAUUCCAACUGUCACAUUAACAAGGAUGAGCACUCUUGACUCUGCUUGGGAUUUCCUAGUGAUAAUUGCAUCGAGUGAUGAAAGAGCUGACGGCGACAUUUUAAUGUAUGAUUGGCUUGGACCAUUGGAAUGAAGUCAUUUCAUGGUGCCACCACUUGGGAUGGUAUUAGCUGCAAAUAUAGACUUGUACUUAGCACUUGUUGCCUUUAAGAAGUAUGAGAUCCAUUUUGUGCUAACACCUACCAUGACACAGAAUCUUGGUUUAUUCAGUCUCAUAGGAGUAACCUGUCUAAAGCAUUUAGCAAUGGGAUUGGAGCCUGAGACGUGUGACUCAUCUGAAUACUGAAUUUUGAUACCAAGCAUGACCGUGAUUUGCCAGAAGAUCAUCUGUUUGGAUGUGACAUGGAAUAAACAGCAUAGUGAAAAUAAGUCAAGUUUUGGUUUGUGACGACAACUUUUAAACACACUGUGUAUCAUUUUUAAAUUUUGAUUUCACAACAUAAAUCCACAAAUAUGAGCAUAUCAAUUGCUCUCGGUUUUUCAAGUGAAAUAGUUUUUGUAACAGAAAUACAUGUACCAGUAAUUACAUUGGACAAAAUGUUAUUUUUAAAUAUAAUAAUAUUUUGUUUGUGUUGCAUGUUGACCUCUUUAUUAAGGUCUUCCCUUUCAAAGUUUAGACUUACUUAUUCUAAUGAUUUAGAUAGAUCCUCUGUCUUCAGCAGGAAUAUAAGAUCUUGUAAUACAUG